CAAAUGUGCUCAAGUUCACUAAUACUGUGCUUGGUGCACAGCCUCUGGGAUAAGCCAGUAAGUUGAGAAAAGAACAAAACCCCCGGUGGGAUGGUUUUGCAUCCGCAUAUAAAUCUAGAAUUCAUCUCUGCAUACGAAUUGGCUUGCCCCUGAGUAUGAGAUGCUGAGGAUGGACCAAAUGAAAGAAUUCAUACCAGUUGGAGCAGGAAACAAGGAGGAGAAAAUGGACUUUCAGCUACAGCAUGGCCUGAGUGUGGGUAUUUCCAUGGAAAUUCCCCCCACCCUCUCUUUCUUCACCUGUUUGAGGAGAACAAGGAUGGAAACUUUACUUCUGCAGAAAAAAGGUAAGGGGGAUUUCCAUCAUUGCAAACAGGGUCAUUUGGGAUGAAUAGGGCAAGCUGGAUAAAUAUCCAUGGCAUCAGGACCCUAGGGAGGAUUUCUGGGGCUGGUAAGAUUUUACUAUUUGUUUGUUUUUUUGUUCUAUCUGUGGAAACUGUCAAACGAUAAACUUUGUCAAAAUGUUUGUGUAAUGAGGCAGAGUAAAUAAGUGAAUAUAGUCUGUGUAUAGCAAAGUUGGGGGAAAGUAUUAUUCCUCUCUAGAGAGGUCUAAUUAUAGCAAUGAAUUAUAUUUUAUAUACAGACCUUCCUAAAUUAAAAAAAUUAUUUUUUAAUUGGAGUAUAAUUGCUUUAUAAUGUUGUAUUAGUUUCUGCUGUACAAUGAAGUGAAUCAGUUAUGUGUGUGUAUAUAUAUCCCAUCCUUUUGAGCCUCCCUCUUCCCUCACCUCUCCAUUCCACCCCUCUAGGUCUUCACAGGUCACUGAACUGAGCUCCCUGUGCUGUAUAUGCUGAUCUUCUUUGUUCUUGGUUCAAAUGUAAAUUGAUGGUCAGCAUAUCAUUGAUUAUAUCUGAAGAGCUUCAAAGAGGAUCUCAGAUUGGUGACCUCUGGGUUUGUAUGACCUCUAUGAGCCUCAGGUUGUCUUUCUGCAAAUUGGGCUGGAAGAUGAUCAGAGGCUGUGGGAAGUGGUUCUUUGUUUGAAGCUGGUCUUGAUGCUCUUCCUGAUCUCAAAAUGCAAAAAGAAAAAACAAAAUUGUUUUUAUGAGAAAUAAGAACUGGCUAUUUUCCCGAUGAGGCUGAGGAACUUGUCUCCUAGUAGAUGAGAAUCCGUAAGAGAUACUAAAAAGCUUCCUUCACUCACAUGUUUAUGAACAAAGUAUCUGCUUAGCAUGAUUAAGUACGAGUCUCUGGGCUCAGUAUGCCAAGAAGUACGAUGCUGUGCAACGUGGCUGCUGUAAGGUGGAGAUGCUCCUCAGCCUGAUUUAUGGAGCCUCCAGAUGGGAGCAUGGACCGCUGAGCUAGUUACGGGGUUUGGAAGGAGAGUGCGUCCCCU
This 1388-nucleotide long non-coding RNA is filed under the name Bos indicus x Bos taurus (hybrid cattle). RNAcentral describes it as "lncRNA (ENSBIXG00005013771.1)". The record is from RNAcentral. Lineage: Eukaryota; Metazoa; Chordata; Mammalia; Artiodactyla; Bovidae.